This 8657-nucleotide long non-coding RNA is filed under the name Solanum tuberosum (potato). RNAcentral describes it as "long non-coding RNA (STUB_LNC006504)". Lineage: Eukaryota; Viridiplantae; Streptophyta; Magnoliopsida; Solanales; Solanaceae. The record is from RNAcentral.
ACCCAUACAAAUAUAAACAACAAUAAAAGAAAAAUCUCAUCCGGACACCCAUAAUAAGCGACUCUUCAUGUCUUGAACUUUAAAUUCAAAACCUGCUAAACAGAAUAUACCAAAGACAAGAUCAUAACUAUAUAGAUAGCAACAUAAAAGUUAUUCAUAGCAAAACACACGAAUUUUCAAACAAGUCAUAGAACAUACAAGAUCACACAUUGAGAAAGAAAGGGAUAGGGAAACUAACCCGGAUGCUUCCUUUUAUUUGUUUCAACCAUACAAUCAUGCAUAAUGCAAAACGAAAUAUACACUAGUGAAGAGAACUAACCAAUUAAGCAGAAAAUAGUUAUCAGCAGUGCAGACGAACUUAAUCCGAGACUAGACUCGAACACAACAAUACCGAGUAAAGAUAGCUCUUAGAAAUGUUCGCCCAAUUUUAAAUCUUUAGAGUAGAGAGUAUUUUAUGCUCUUGUUAGAAAGUAUAAGCAUGAGUGAGUAGUCCGUAGAGAAUGAGGGAAAAGGUCUGAUUUAUAUAGCAAAAUGGGGGCACGGUUUAAAGGAAAAUGUAUCAAUUAAUUAUUACUAUUCCUUAUUCAAAGGGAGAACCGAUAAUCAGUCUAUUGACAAGAGGAAAGAAUCAUCAUUUUACCCAAAAAAUACGACAGGUAAGACUCUAUUUAAGAAAAUAAUUAAGGAAGGAGGAAUCAUUUACAACAACCAUCUAUUAAUAUUAAAUUCAGCAGUAGAAAAUUAUAAGGAAAGAAGUAGUACACGUUUUUUACUCAUUAUUAAAAAUUACCAUAGACAGAAAAGUCCAGCAAACUACACCGAAUUACAGAAGCCUAAAUCAAGCUAAGGAGCAAUUUGACCAAGCAACUAGCUAAAUUACCAGAUUUAAGGAAUCCUAGCAGAUAUGGGGAAAUAAUUAACAAGUCAAAAUUACACAUAUAUUAAAGGGAACAUAUCGAUAAUGUAAAAUAUCAAAGGAGAAUCAAAUAAUUAUUUUAGGAAGAACAAAUAUGAUUCAAUCGAUUAAGGCUUAAAAUGAUUUUAUUUAUUUUUUUACCAUGGAGAGAGACAUGUCGGAUAUACACAAAUUUGGUUAGAAUAAGGAGGUCAAUUAAGAAAUCAUCACCACAUCUUAAAUAAUAUUAUUUCCUUAGCAAAUAACUUUUACUAUAACAAUCACAUACAUCAAUUAAAGGUACCCGAUCAACAUAAAAUCAGUUACCAUAAACGGAGAAAGUAGAUUGCAGCAAGGUUGAAUUAACACAAUCAUUGCAUAUGAGCUAUCAAGCUAAACAAAGGAAUAAUCAAUUCAAAGACUAUCACAAUUAAGAGAAUCAAUUGUUAAACCAAAUUACCGAUUUAGCAUAUAUAAAAAUUUAACAGGCCAACAUAAGCAUUGAUUAAGGAGCACAUUAAAGGAAUUAACCGGCAUUAAGACUGUUAACCCAUUUACACAGAACACAAACAUAUUCAAGCAUAUAACAUAGUGAGGGUGAUAUGAGAAGAAAUUUAAAUCAACCUAAAUCUGCAAAUGAUAAAGUAAAACGAGCAAAUGUCCGGAGGGUCUUAACGAUUCAUGCUUAGAACAAGAUAGAUAACUAUUAUUGAUAAUAUAUCACAAAAAAUACAGAUGAAAUUAAGAAAAAUUAUUAAAAGUGAAUAGUAAUUUAAACAAGGGCAAACUCGGACGGAUCUGACGGGAUCCGUCUUGUACGAAAACUACAGCACUUCGAGCUUCGCAGGAAUCUCGUGAGGCUACUCGAUUGUUGUUUUCACUCGCAACUGCUGCUGGCUGUCGAUGGAUGUGCGUUGGUCGCUGUUGUUGCUGUUGCUGUUGUUGUCGCCGGCUGGAGCUGUUGUUGCUCUCCUCGCCGGCUGCUGCUGUUGAUUUGUUGGGGCUCGCUGACCGGAGCAGUUGUGGGAGAGAGAGAGAAGCAAGCUUUUGCUGAUUGGAGAGACGAGAGGGAGACGACAAUUUAUCUCGCCAUUCUCACAGAAUAGAAGAGACGGGAAGGAGCAAGGAGAGAAGAGAAAGGUGAGGGGAGGAGGGCGAGGGAGAGCUCACCGGCGAUGGUGGAGCUCUCGCCGGUUCUCACUGAUGAAGGAGUUUCCGGCGCUGCUAGAGAGAAGAAAAGAAACAGUUUUCAAAAUAGGGUUUGGUCUUUUAGUGUUAAAAUAGGAAAGAUGGAAACUUUGAUCUUGACCAUUGGAUCAGUUUAGAUGAGCGGCUAGGAUUGAUCUAGGGUUUAAUUUAAAGGAUGGACGGUUGAGAUUAAAAGAGAAUUAAAUCUGAUUUCGGAAUAAGAAUAGGCUAAAAUUCAAACUAAAAUUGAUAUAAGAGGUUAUAAUUGAAAAACGAAAUUGGAUUGAGGUGGCUGGAAUUGAAAUGGAUUAGAAUAGAAUAGGCUAACAUUUAAAUAAUUUUGAGGGAAUUUAAAGAAAUGCUAUCCAAUUAAAAUACUACAAAAUAUUUAAAAUACUUAAAUUUUUAAACAUUUGAAUUAUUUCGAGUUUUACUAAUAUUUAUAGUAUUCACAAUAAUUUUUAUAAAACAUGCAUACUAAAUAUAUAUUUUUUAGACAAAAUUGAUUAAAAUUUUAAACCUAAAAUAUGUUUUAAAAAUACGUAUUUAAUCGAAAUUUCAUACCCUGACCCUGUGACCCACCCCUCACCCCCGUCAAUCUUUUUAAAAAAUAAAAUAAAAUUGACAAAUAUUUUAGGGUCGAAAGUCUGAAUUAUUAACUCGUGCUAUUCUGAAUAAUGACAAACUUAAUUCAUAUCGCAGGAAAUCAAGGAACAAGAUCUAGAGAAUGAUAUGGAUCAGCAGCUUCACCCAAGGAGGCAGAUGGAUUCUGGAUACUGAUACAAAUCAGCAGCAUCCACCAAGGAGAUAGAUUGAUACAAUCAAACAAUCUAAAAGAUUGACUCAAUAAGAUAUCAUCCAACUAGAAGACCACAUCAAUUCGCAUGAAGCCAAAAAGGAAAAGGCAAGUGUUAGACAAUCAAGAUGACAAGUAGAUCAAGGAAGAUCACACUGUGAUACCGAGCAACAAGCCAAGAUUCACAUCAGACUCUGUUUCAAGGCAGAAGUUUGAGUGCUGCAACCUAAUCAAGGAAAAUACACACUUAAUCAAAGAAACAUUACAAACCCUUGAUUGAAGGAAACUCCCUUGAAUUUUUCUAUUAGAGCUAAAAUCAUGACAUACUCAGCAUAUAAAUAAAGACCCGAAUCAACAGCUGAAAGUGCGCAACUUCACUUGAACUUAUAUUAUAAUCUUCUUUCAUCUUUCAUAAAGUUUUGUACACUUUGAGUGUACAAUUGAAAAAAAAAAAGAGAAGGAAAGAUAUUGAGUGUAGGUUAUACAGGUAGAUGUCGUGUCAAGAUAGAAACUAUGAUUUGCAUAUCAGACUGGAUUCAAGAUCAAACUCACUGUACAACCACAAUUUUCUUCAAGAUCUAAAGGAAACCCUUGAAACCCAAGGGAAUUGGAAGUAGGCACCACAUCAGUGUUCUGAACCAACAUAAAACAUCCUGUGUCAAUUUACUUUAUGUAUUUACUCUUAUUUUAUACUGUGAUACUAACCUGUAGGUGAGUCGACUAAAGAAAUUUUUAAUUCACCCCCACCCCCUUAACUUUCAUGGGUCAGGUCUUGGGUCAGAUUUCAGGGUCGGAUUUUGGAACGGUCGUCGAAGUCGUGUCCUAGUUUGGGUGUUAGGGUCGGGUCCUUAAUCGAUUAUCGAGGUUGCUUUUCGGGUCAGAAAUUAUUUUUCUAAAGAGUAUUUUGUUGUCUCAAGACAAAAAUAAAAGAUAUUUUCUAGAAAUGUUUUUCAUUCACUAACCAAAUAUUAAAAAAUAUUUUUUCUUCACCAACCAAACAUGAGAAAUCAAGUUAGAAAUCCACUUGUUUUCCAAGAAACAUUUUUUUGAAAAACAUUUUCAUUUGUACCAAACACAUCCUUGGAGAACUUCUUUUUCUGCUUCUGUCGUCUUAUUGACAAGGCUGCCACUAAGGUCAAUUGGAUUGAUAGUUAUACAGAAGUAAGUGACAUAUUUGUAGUUUUGUAUUAUUUCAAUAAUUGGGACUUGGGAGAAUGAAGGAAGACUCCAAAAAAAGUUAUUUGCACUCAACUUAGAUGAGGGUAGCUUCAUUAUUAACUUGAAUCAGAAUUGAAUUCAAGGAUACAAUCAAAUUCUGAAGUGAUAUAAUAAUCUUGAUAUACUAUUGCUGAUCCAACUCAAAAAUAUAUAAUUCAACUCUAAGUUAAGCAAACGAGAUCAAAUUUUAAGUAGCGUAUUUUGUGUUCUCACAAUGAUUAACAAUUACAAAUAUGUAUCUAGUUCAAAUAAUCUUAUGGUUAAACCUAUGCUGUAAUUUUUCAUCAAGUGUCCCCUAAUCCCCCAGUAAUCCUUAAGAAGGUUGGAAUUAAUUUCUUUGUCACUUUACUAAACUUUAAUUUGAUUAUAAAAACAUUACUUGUCGUUCUAAUUUGGAGUUAGAAGCUUAAAUGGUCAUUUAACUUUAAGUAAUUGGUCAUCGUGCUCAAUUUUGUUGUUUUUCAAAAGUCACUCAACUUUGUCACUUAAAACCCGUUUGGAUUGAUUUAAAAAAAAGUAGCCUUUGAGUCAAAAAUAAAAGUCAAACUUAAAUGACUUUUAAAUAAAAAAAUAACUUAAAUGAUUUUUUAAGUAAAAAAAUAAAAAGUAGAGGAGACCUACUUUUGGUUUUUAAUUUAUUUUAAGUCAUUUUAAAUUUAUUUUAAGUUAUUUUUAAUAUUGUCAAACACUUCCUAACUUAUUUGAAGUCAUUUUUUUGACUUAUUUUAAAUUAUUUUUAUAUUUGUCAAACCCUUUCAGAAGUCAAAAACUGAUUUAAAAGUAAAUUUGACCAACUUUUAUGUCAAUCUAAACACUCUCUUAGUUAGCUUUCAUGGUCAUUAUUUCCAGAAAUAUAACUUUCGAUACCUAUUUAAUGAUGUUCAUGAAACUGUAAGUUUUUAGAAAAAAAAUAAAUUUAAAAUUAAAAUCAAUAUUUAAUUAUUGGAUUCUCAGUCAAUUUUUUUAAUUAUAUUUUUGUUCUUUAAUUUUUUUUUCUUCUUGUUCAUUAAUCGAAUUUAAUAAGAUAUUGUCUUGGGUGUGAGUAUUUUGGAUAUGUUGCGGGAUAUACUCAAACAGUCACAUUCAUCAAUAAGGUGUUAUUAAUGUAUCUUUUAGAUUUUUCUUGAGUAAUGUGAUUAAUGAAGAAAAAUUAGCAUUUUAAAAUAAUAAUAAUAAUAAUAAUAAUAAUAAUAAUAAUAAUAAUAAUAAUAAUAAUAAUAAUAAUAAUAAUAAUAAUAAUGAGAUAUCCAUUUUUUAAAUUUAAAAAAACUACCUUUUUCAAAAUUUGCGGAAUUAAUUUUUAAAAAAUUUCAAAAAUUGUGAAACCUUAAAACUUCUAUAGUAUCAAAAUGAUGAUAUCAAUCAAUUAUAUAAAAUACGAAUUUGACUAUGUAAGUAUCCUGAUAACAUAUUUAAAAUAGUCAUAUUCAAAACAACAGCUUAUUAAUUCAAUUAAUGAAGAAUAAUGAGAGAGAGAAAAUAAAAAUAACGCUAAGAUAAAAUGCUUUAUUGAAUUAUAGAAAACACGAAUUUAACUAAUUUAGUGUAUCCCGUAACAUAUCUAAACCGUUCAUACUCACAACACCACCCUACUAAAUUCGAUUAACGAAGAAUAACAAGAAAAAUAAAAACAAAUUAAAGAGCAAGAAAAUAAUAUGUAAAAAAUUGACUUAGAACACAAUAAUUAAAUAUUUGUUUUAAUUUUUUAAAGUGUUUUUUUCUAAAAGUUUACAAGCUUUCCCGUCAUUAAAUAGAUACCAAAAAUUACAUUUUUGGGAAUAAUUACCAUAAAUGUUAACUAACUAUCCAAAAUUGAGUGACCAUCCAAGCUUCUAACUCUUCCAUUUUACUUCCUCCGUUCUUUUUACUUGUUACUGUAUGACUUGGCACAUCCAUUAAGAAAAUAAUUAUUGAUAUAUGUAUUUUACCAAACUUUCCCUAUUGAAUGGUACCUGUUUAGUAUUAGGUCUUAGAAAAUGAUUUGGAGAAUAAAUAUUUAAAGCUAAGGGUAAAACAUGAGAAAAAUUAAUUAUUUUUUCUUGAAAUAUCAAAAGUAACAAGUAAAAAUGAAAAAUUUAUCUUAGGAAUAAAUGACAAAUAAAAAUAAACGGAGGAAGUAACUCACAUCAAUUAAAAUUUUCCUUGUCCUCAAGGAAGAAAAUUUCGAAAAUAAACCAAUAGUGUUGAUAAUCUUCCCAAGUAGCCUGGUGUGCAGGUAACUUAUCCCAUUGAAUUGAUUCUUGGCCCACAACCUUGUCUCCCUUUUGUACCAUGCACCGAUGCAAGAUAUUUUGAGGUUAAGGACAAUAUAAUAAUUAAUUAGGACUUGAAAGCUCAAUUACAUGUACAUCAGAAAUAGUGUCAAGCAAGCUAUGACAAAACAACUUCAAAAAAUGAUGACCAUACAUAGAAAUUUUAUCUAUAUAUAUAAGGUUGUAUCUUUAGAUGGACUUGAUUUCCCCUCCUAAAAUUGUCUUAUCUGAUUUUUGUUUGUUAUGGUUGAAAAUUAUUUUCAGUUAUUGGAGUAAUUUUCAUUUUAGUAAAAUAAGGUGUAGGUUUAUAAUGAUUUGAAUUUUAAAUUUGUUGAAAUAUUAUAGAUUUUUAAUCUUUUAUAAUUUUCAAUUGACACUAAAAAAAAAAAAAAAAAGAACCUUUUUGUGGCGACAAAAAUCGCCACGGAAAGUCAAAAUAUCGCCACGAAUAACCUGUUGUGGCGACCACGGAUUGUUGGCUAUAUACUACGUGGCUGAUACUUUUCCGUGGCACUAACACAAGUCGCCACCAAAGGUUUAGUUUUUGUGGCGAGUAAUUCCACCACAAAAAUGUAUUAAAGUGCCACGAAAAUCACCUAACAAAAACGUAAAAUAUUGGGAAAAAGUGAAUAAUUAUUUAGUUUUUUAAUUCAAUUAUUUAAUGACAAUUACAAUACUCAACUUCUUUUCGAUAUUACUUCAUCCCAUUGUUUUUUAUUUUAUUUUAGUUUUGCUCUCUCGGUGACUCAAACUCACAACCUUAAGGAGCUUACCAUCCGAGCAACUCUCUCUUGUCUGCCAAUAUUUAUUUUAUUUUUAACUUCAUUCACUUUUUUCAAAUUUAACUUCUACGAAAAUAAUAUAGUAUAUCAUCAUCUAUACAUAUACACAAACAAACAUACGAAAAUUACCACCCAUAUUUCAUUCAAAUUUAGACUAGAUUUGAUGUCUGCCAAUAACUAGCAAGAGUUUUCAUGAUAAAUUUUUCUCAAUAUAAACAUGAAAAAACUAAAAAAACAACAAUAAUAUUGAUAGUAAAAAGAGUAAGGAUAACAAAAGCAAAAGAAACAACUGUAGAAAUUAAUGGAAGAUAAUGAUAAUAAUGAAAUAAUUAAUACUAAGAAGGAGAAGAGGGAGCAGAUAAGGUCCACCAAACUAGAAACAUGAUUUCCCACAAAGAAGGGAAAUCAUUCGACUAUGUAUACCUACUAACCUUCUAUUCAGGGGUGGAGCUAUUCUUGCACGCUCAAAAGGUUUCAAGAGACACGUUUUUGUAGGAAAAUUAUAUUGUACAAGUAUUGACCUCCUCUUGACAUAAGUAAUUAUGCCUUCAUAUUUGAUGUUUGCAUCAUAUAUAUAUAUCACUCCUUUAAUAUCGUAAUCAACGUAUUUAUCUGUUUCAGACCAAAACUUAUUAGUAGUGAUUCUCGUAAAACAGAUUUACCAGAAUUAACUCAAAUAUGGUGUUGACACCAUCAUUAUGUACCAAAACAGAAUCAACAUGUACACCAUCAACAUCUAAAAAAAAAAACUCAUGAAUGAUACCAAAAAUUAACAUAAUUACACCAAAAUAGAAAAAAUAUGUGCACCAUCAUCAUGUACAAAAAGAAAAAAAAAACUAUGAACGAAACCAAAAAAAUCAGAAUUACACCAAACACCAACUAUGAACGAUAAAUUUCACCAAAUCACAUACCAAAACACAGAAUCACAAAAAAUCAAGUUUGAAUGACACCAAAAAUACCAGAAUCACACCAAACUAAUAAAAACGAUCUAUUUCACUAAAUCAAUUACCAAAACACAUAAGCAGUAAAUAUGAUUUAUAUUCUAAACCCCAAAACCAUACAAAACAAACAAAAUGAGUUAAAAAAGAUUCUGAAAACACGGAAUUAGUGAGAAUUAAAAAAUAAAACAAAACAGAAACUCGAAAUUGGUGAAUAACAACAACAAACCAUUUUUCAACAUUAAUUAUACUACUCGUUAUUGAUAUAAUUUAAUUUUAUAAAAUUGGUUUUUAACGUUGUUUUUUCGAUUGUAACACAAAAAAAAGCCCAUAUCAAACAUGGUAUACUACAACAUAAUCAUCAUGAUUAUUAGAUAAAUCACGUAAAAAAACACAAAUUAAAUAUUGAAUUAUCAAUAAUACCUGAUGCGUCUCAACGUUCUUUAUGUUGAAUUAGGAUUGAAUAACUGUUGGUAUCCAUGAUUGAUCUGUCGACCAGAAUGAGUAGAAAGAGAGGUUUUUUAUUUUUGUCAAGAAUCCUUUUAUUGAUAGGAGAGAAUAUAUAUAACCAAUUUGAGAAAAUCAUGG